UCUGUUGUCAUCUAAACAUGAAGUGCCUUGCUUUCAUUUUUGCCGUGAUCAUGUUGGUGUGUUUGGUGACGUCGACGACGGCGUGUGGUUGCAGCAGUAGUAGCCACAGCAGUCACCAUCACUCUCACGGCAUCAUGAUGCCCAUCCCGUACAUGAUGCACGGCGGCGGCGGCGGUCACAGCCACUCCAACUACCUCCCCAUCAUCCUCACAACGACUGGUUAAAUCCACCGUGAACAAACUCCAUGACGACCCACAGUUCGGUUUGGCUGUCACCACGUGCUGGUCACGUGUUUCAACGAGUCUAUGAAAAAGCUGUCGGGCUGCAAGAAACGUUGAAAUAUUCAACAUAAUGUUAUUAUUUCUAUUUAUUCCAUAAAUAAAACUGUUGGUAAA
RNAcentral lists this long non-coding RNA (395 nucleotides) under Haliotis rufescens (red abalone). RNAcentral's name for it is "uncharacterized LOC124121428". Lineage: Eukaryota; Metazoa; Mollusca; Gastropoda; Lepetellida; Haliotidae. The record is from RNAcentral.